ACGUAGGGUCCGAGCGUUGUCCGGAAUUAUUGGGCGUAAAGGGCUCGUAGGCGGUUUGUCGCGUCGGGAGUGAAAACUCAGGGCUCAACCCUGAGCGUGCUUACGAUACGGGCAAACUAGAGGUAUGCAGGGGAGAACGGAAUUCCUGGUGUAGCGGUGGAAUGCGCAGAUAUCAGGAGGAACACCGGUGGCGAAGGCGGUUCUCUGGGCAUUACCUGACGCUGAGGAGCGAAAGCAUGGGGAGCGAACAGGA
This 253-nucleotide ribosomal RNA is filed under the name uncultured prokaryote. RNAcentral describes it as "partial 16S ribosomal RNA". It matches the Rfam family "Bacterial small subunit ribosomal RNA", at positions 525 to 777 of the family's 1533-position model. The record is from RNAcentral.